RNAcentral lists this ribosomal RNA (253 nucleotides) under uncultured bacterium. Its description in RNAcentral is "partial 16S ribosomal RNA". It matches the Rfam family "Bacterial small subunit ribosomal RNA", at positions 524 to 776 of the family's 1533-position model. The record is from RNAcentral.
UACGUAGGGUGCGAGCGUUAAUCGGAAUUACUGGGCGUAAAGCGUGCGCAGGCGGUUUUGUAAGCCAGAUGUGAAAUCCCCGGGCUCAACCUGGGAAUGGCAUUUGGGACUGCAAGGCUGGAGUGUGGCAGAGGAGACUGGAAUUCCUGGUGUAGCAGUGAAAUGCGUAGAUAUCAGGAGGAAUACCGAUGGCGAAGGCAGGUCUCUGGGCUGACACUGACGCCCAUGCACGAAAGCGUGGGGAGCAAACAGG